This 71-nucleotide transfer RNA is filed under the name Marmota monax (woodchuck). RNAcentral's name for it is "tRNA.Ala". The record is from RNAcentral. Lineage: Eukaryota; Metazoa; Chordata; Mammalia; Rodentia; Sciuridae.
GAGGUUGUGGCUCAGUGGUAGAGCGCUUGCCUAGCAUGUGUGAGGCACUGGGUUCGAUUACCAGCACCACA